Long non-coding RNA from Clupea harengus (Atlantic herring), 7438 nucleotides. The record is from Ensembl. NCBI's taxonomy places the organism in Eukaryota, Metazoa, Chordata, Actinopteri, Clupeiformes, Clupeidae.
CCCCCCCCCCCUUGUCGUCAUGGCGACCGCUCGCUUGUCAGUCCAUCCCUGGGUGCCGCCCCCCCCCCCCCCUGACUCCGGCAUGUUUGUGCACCAGGGCCGCCGGAGCUGUGGGGGUCAUGGGAAGAUCCUGGGAUUCUCACCGAGUGUGAAACUGUAUCUCGUAAAAAUCAGCGAGAUGCCAUUGUGAAGCUCAGGGACUGAGGCAUUCGCAUGGAAAUACAAGACUAAAAGCCAUAAAUAGCUCCCUUUUUCAUUCAGGCUGGGACAUCUUGGUCUGUCGCUGCAGGUUUUCGGCCAAAUUUGGUCGAAGAAACAACAGUUUUGGAAGCUUUCAAAGGUAUCACUGACAUCACUGUCAGUUAAUUACAAGGGACACUUUGGUGUUUUGCCCAAUGCCCAAAACUGUAAUGGUUUUUCUUUAGCAAUUAGUUGAAGGGAGUGGACAGAUCUCUAGAUUAAAGUAGAUUCAUAAACCCUGUAUUUAGAUUAGAUUAGAUUAGAUUCAACUUUAUUGUCAUUGCACAGAGUACAAGUACUGAGGCAACGAAAUGCAGUUAGCAUCUAACCAGAAGUGCAAAAUCAGAAGAGUGCAGAGUAUGUGCAAAGUGGUAAUAUAAAAAUAGAUAAAUAGAAUAUAUACAGUAUGGUAUAAGACAUAAGUAAUAUGAACAGUAAGCAGCAAUAGUGGUGGUUAGUGCAGAUGUGAUAGAGAUAUAUGAUAUAGAUAUACAGUAUUUAUUUAUUCCGUUUCCUGUAUUGUAAAAGGCAUACCUGUGGCUGCAUGUCAUCUGAAUGUCUGGAUCACCGAUGAUGGCCUGCACAGGAUCUUUGAACUAUGACAAUGAAACAAACAAACAAAAACCACAUCAUUUUCAUGUACACAAGAAUACAUUACAUUUAAAUGAUACAGUUUAAAUGAGGGUUAAAUGUCCUCAUUUGACUAUAUCCACAAUGAUUUUAUUAACACACAGGCCUCAGAAAUGUAACACCAGUACGGAAACAAAAACAUGACAAAAUAGUUCAGACGGUCAAGGCCAAAACAUCAUUUAACACAAUUCCCCUAUUUGACCAGACACCCUAUAAGAUGAUGCAACCCUCCUGAUGAAAUGUCAUUUAGUGAACCACUAAAUGAGAAGCACUCAAUAGAAGCUAUUUGACCAGACACCCUGAAAGAUGAUGCAACCCUCCUAAUUGAAAUGUAAUUUAGUGAACCACUAAAUGAGAAGCACUCAAUAGCAGCUAUUUGACCAGACACCCUGAAAGAUCAUGCAACCCUCCUAAUGAAAUGUCAUUUAGUGAACCACUAAAUGAGAAGCACUCAAUAGCAGCUAUUCCCAGGCUCAUGCUGUGUGUGUCUGCAUUCCUUUCACCUUAACUUUAUUGAGUUAUCCGAUUUGGCAUCCAUGGAGUCCCAUACAGACUGCUGAGAUGCUCCUACAGAGGCACUGUGCCUUUAAGCCUACAGAGGCACUGUGCCUUUAAGCCUACAGAGGCACUGUGCCUUUAAGCCUACAGAGGCACUGUGCCUUUAAGCCUACAGAGGCCCUGACCAAUUGUGUUGUCCAUACACAAAGCUAAGUGGUGUCAGGUUGAAUGUGUUUCCCUCCAGGACAACAACACACAGUCAUGUAUGAAGCCUUAUUCUUUUUUGUCUCCCUCAACAGGUUCCUAUUGAAAAAAAGCUUGUUUGUGAUCAUAAAUGUACUUAUGGUCCUGGCAGGUUUUUUCAACGUAUCCAGCAAACACUUCUCAGUGUGAAGUAGAAUGCUGUUUAAAUGCUGUUAAACCCCAUCAAGUGGAAACCAGUGGCAUCUUUUCCUUGUCACCAUAGCGAAGCCCAAAGCAAAACAAUGAGGCUGAGUCACGAGCUGGCCGGAUUCUUCCAGAACAUAACGCAUACCCUGGACAGCACAGGACCGAGAAGCCAAACUGAACACACAAAAAAAUUGCAAAGCUAUGCUGGAAAAAAAAAGGAGAGAGAAGCUAGAAGAGGAUUAAAAAAAAAGGACUUCCAAGUUCAAAUGUCCGGCACCUUGGCAAAGCAGAUUAGGAAAGCUGAUUCUACUUCAAAGGACUGCGGGAUCGAACAGAGAGGGUCAUUUCCGCUCAAGAGGCAGGCAACCUCCUUACCCUUGGUAUCUGAACAGGGUCAGUAGUAACUAUGUCGGUUGCCAUGGAAACUCAGGACCUGCGCCCUCUGAAAUGAUCGCAACUUUCCAUUUUGGGGGGGUCAGUUUUCAGCUGCUUAGGGAGGCAGGCAGAUCGCUGCUAUUCCAACUGAACGAAGAUGAGUUUUCCAAGCCCAGUCGAAAAGGGAACAUUGCAGAGUGUAAUGAUUGUGGUCAGUGUCCUGACUGCCAUAUCCAGUAUCUUGCGGUCCACAACCCACUGCAGGGGCCUCCGGCACAGGGGGAUAGUUAACCCUCCCCGUCCUCCGGCACAGGGGGAUAGUUAACCCUCCCCGUGCAGCCUUAAGCAGAUGUGUCUCCCCAAAUGACUCAUAACCCCCUGACUGUUACAUUACAUAACAGGGAGAACAGCUCCGUCGUGUGUAUGUGCGUACGUGGUACCAGCAUUUUUUUUUUUUCAAGUUGAUGCACAUCCCCCUGCUGCUGAAAAAUGAUCAGACUUUGUCAAACAAGGACGCUACAGGGAAAGAAACGCUAAAAGCUGGUACAGUUUUAUUUGUCAACAGGGAGGAACUGAGACCGAGAUCCACCAUACCUCUGGAUUACUGUGGUCUGACUGUGACAUUACAAUCACUGCUGACAUUUCAGCAGCUGAAACUAGAGAUUGUCUUGCCACUAAAUUUAAUAGUGAAAAGGUCAAUCUCUGAAGUAAGGCAAAAAUGUGAUCUGUUGACCCUUUCCUUCUGUUCAAAUCUAUGGGUUUGAUAAACAGUAAACAAACCACACUAGCGUGUCUGUUUCACUUUGUUUAGGUGUUCGAAACCCAAGAAUGUUCGACGCUUUCCCACAGUCAAUCCUGUGCAAUGACUCCCAGCUCUGCUUCUCAGUCUACCAAAACAAGCCCUUAAAUCAGAGAAGCCCCUCAAAAAAAACACCAAGCCUUAAAAAGCUGGUGAGGUUGUUUGGCCUGCUGUUCACCGUGUCUGGCUUUUGAAGCUUUCAUUACCUAAAUGAGUAUUGAAGGGGAGACCGGGGAAAACGCCAGGAGCUCCAGCUCUCAGUCCAGCUCUCUCUCCCUCCAAAGCCCCGAUGCUCUCGCCAACCCUGAGGAGAGCCGAGAGGAGAGCCAACCUAAUAAGGUCAAUUCAGACCUCUCACAUCUGCCGAAAGAAUUCACAGGAACACACAAAUCGUGUUUACUUUGAACACCCUACACAUUCUUAUCUGCUUACAAGCACUGAAGCACACUUCCCUUGCCAGCAGCAGAACACACUUGGAAAUGGGUGGUGUUGGGAGAUAUGCUUCAGGAGAACCGGCUUGUUUUGCUGGGUUACAUAUUAUCAGAAAUGCUCUUGAUGUCUUGAAUGGGUAGGACAUCUUCCAAAAAGUCAGCCCAGAUAUUUACUUGCUCGACCAAACAUGGAGAUGGGAGUUUAGAGUGUGGGAGCUGGAUUUCUCUUGGGCCUGCUAGGAUGGGGAUGCCUCGUCUCUGUAAACUUGGCUAGGAUAUCAGACGGCUUUCUCAGAGCUGUGAGACUGCUUUGCCUGCGUGUCAAAUGCUGCCAGCUUUAUUGGCAACUAGACACCCUGCCUCCCGUCUGUUCACAUUAGAUUUCUUAUCUAUUCAGCAGUUCUUGAGAGCAAUCAACAUUAUCUUGCAACACACUGAAGGGCCAAUCUGUUUCACUCCCUUAGCAAGAUGCUAAAUCUCUCAGUAAUGUGUUAACAUCAGUCAGCCGGCCCGAUGCUGUGCUAAUGCAAUCUUGCACUUGGAGGUAACAGGAUGCAGAGAGACAAUGAGACACUCGAAUUGAGCGCCUGAGGAGGAUUGUAAAUCACUCUCACAUGGGCUCCCGUCAAGGGGACAGGCUGGCUCAUAUGGGAUGGAUUUAUGCCCACAUGGCAUUCAGCUUAUUCAUGAAUUCUCACGUUAUCGUCACCAUGACAGGCAGCCUCAUAAGGGAUGGAUUUUUUUGCCCACAUUGGAAUUCAGUUAAUUCAUGAAUUUGUACAACAUCGUCACCAUGACAGGCUUAUUUAUGUUGUUCACAGCUUUUAGUGUAACAAUACAAACAUGUCAUGUUAUGUUGGAAUGUAAUUUUUUGUGCACACACAAUGUGUUACCCCAAUAAUUAGAAAGAGGUACACAUCCCCCUGACCGAGGUAUCAAUGGUGGUUUCUCGGCUGGGAUGAGGUAUUACCAGUGAUAACACGACCACAGCACAUGAACUCCACAAGUCUCUGUUCAUUUGUGGAACUCAAUGGCAAUACUAAACAGGCUGGGGGGCCACAGCCAACAAUCAAAUCCCAUAGAACAACACUACCCAAUGAGGCUUAAGUCAUCCAUUCAUUCAUUUAGCAGACGCUUUUAUCCAAAGCGACUUACAAGGAUGUAUACACAUUUUACAUUUACACUGAUGGCACACGGCACAUCAGGAGCAAUUAGGGGUUCAGUGUCUUGCUCAAGGACGCUUCGACAGGGAAUCGAACUAGCAACCUUCUGAUUACUAAACGACUUCUCUACCCCCGUACCACUGUCGCCCCCGUACCACUUUGUCAUCCGACAAAACAUGAAGCCAUUUUAUACUAUGGUGGACUUGCGAGGCAAUUAAAGGAUUGUCAGGAUUCGCCAUGGAGCUCAUGCUUUUCACACAGACACUGAGUCAAACCCGUGGGUGAGUGACCAACCAGACCUAACCCAAACAAACCACACCCUACCCAUCCCUCCGCAUUUUAUACACACCAAGGCCACGUUACAAAGACAACUGUCUCGCCAUUUCAACAUGAAAACAAGUCCAAGGAGCAUUUCAACUAAUUGCACGCUUGAACAUGCUUGUAAGAGAGCAGACUGUACAGUGUCUCAUUCAAGAUAUUCCACAGUGUCUCAUUCAAGAUAUUCCACACCCCUCAGAGAAGUCGUGUGGAUGCUCCUCCUUCACACGGAGGUUUACUGAAUGGGACCGGCUGGAGGACCCACCAAGUCAGGAAUGCAAACCACUCAGGCUGAAUGAAUCCAAAUCACUGAGGUUCCCAGAUAUGUAGCCAUUGUAACUCCACCAUAUCCAUCGUGUUGAACCACAGUAAGUGAUCUAUAACUCACGCAACCAGGCAAACUCCAUAUCCAUCGUGUUGAACCACAGUAAGUGACCUAUAACUCACGCAACCAGGCAAACUCGACAGGCAAAGUAGGGAAUUUUUCUAUUGCAACGGAACAACCACUUCUAAAAGUUUGUGCGUUUUCACUGAACACUUAACACCAUAAGAGGAAGGCUUUGACUUGAGUACCCUUGGCUUUUCAUUAUUUACCCAAAUUCCCCUGGGACACUCACUUAGCGGGUCGCACAAUUGGUCAUUCUCUCCAAUGCUCUGCUGCUGAUGCUCUGACCUUCUGACCUUUUGACCUUUUGAACUCUGACCUUCUGCUCGUCCUGACAAAAGCCAUCGCCACCUUUGGUCACACUGUCAAUAAACAAAGCCACGGGACCUCACCUCAAGCUGACCAAUUCAACUAUUGCAACCACAUCAAUAAAGCUACCAAUAAAGCUAUAAAUCAAGCUAUCAAUAAAGCUAUCAAUAAAGCUACCAACGAUUAGGCAGAAGGGUGGCCGAUUGGUCAACCAGGGUGACCGUCACUCAAAGCCACUUUCAUUGUCUUCUUCUCUAGAGAGACUUGACAAGACAACUUUUUGACCCCAGCUGACCUCCGAGGUGCUAACCUCUCUGUCUACAUGGGCAGACUUGAAAGAAAGUGCCGGUUAAUGAUUGCAUAUGCUGCUGUUGCUAGGCUGCGGCGGCUCAGCUGCCUAUGGCCUGAUGUGGGCUGCUCUGUUUGUUUGCAGUUGUGGGAGUCAUUAAUUCAAUCCGGAAUUUUCCAAACAGAUACCACUGAGCAUAAACACAGCUUUAAACACCGCCGCCUGAACGGAAACGAAAUGUUUUGGAAGCGCAUGUAAGCUUCCUGGAAAAGUAUGACUAAUGAUAACAAGUCCAUUCCCAAUGUUUUUUAAUUCCUCAGUGUUUGAGAUUUUAUUUAGGACAACAAUAUUACUCUGCAAAUGCUAAUGUAAUAAAACAACGCUUAUUUACAAAUAGUCUGAAGAGACGGUACCAAAAAGAUCCAUCUUUAACAAAUCCCUCUCCUCUGUUGCCCAAUCAGAUCUGUGCCUCAGCACCAAGGCAGUCCAACACUGGCCCGUCCAGCCCUGCGGGUGAAAGGGAAAACAUCUAUGCAAAGCAGAGACUGAAAGGGUGAGCGGGGUGAAGAAUCUCUUAAUGAAAGAACAACACACCAGAACCAAAGACGGAAACACCACAAGCUGAAAACAAGAAUGCCUCCUCUAACUCCCCAACCCGGGAGCUUCGCCGACGCCAUUAUUAUCAAUCACCCUCAGCCGUUGUCUGACCUUCUCCGACUAAAGGUUAACCACGCAGUCUGCCGGCACCUUCAUUCCACAAAGCGACUUGGCUCGUAGGAAUACAGGAGCGGAGUCCAUACAAGGAACAGCUAAUCAGCUUGCUCAUGAUAAGUUUGUAUAUUCCUCCUAAUAACAACACCCCGCAGACACUGCCGUUUCACAGCCUUGUAUGGUGCUUCGGCUCACUGCCCAGAAGAGCCAGCCAAGGGGAGGGAGAUGACUUCUCACAUACCGCUCGAAAAAUAAAGAGCAGAGUGUUUUAUCUUAAUCCUCCAUUCACAUGGUAAUUGAGUAGUCUGACAGCGCGGUAAAGGGGCAGACGAGGGGCAGACGAGGGGCAAGGAGGGAUAAAUACUCACAUUCCUGCCUUUGCAUGUAGUUUCAUACCACAUCAUGGCAUGUCGCCUUUGCAUGUAGUUUCAUACCACAUCAUGGCAUGUCGCCUUUGCAUGUAGUUUCAUACCACAUCAUGGCAUGUCGCCUUUGCAUUUAGUUUCAUACCACGUCAUGGCAUGUUGCCUUUGCAUGUCUCAAGGCGAGAGAAACACUUCCAUAGGUACAGUGAUGGGUGUGGUCUGAAUCAUUUGAGAAUGUCACAUGGCACACUGAACACCGUAGCGGAGUUCAGAGCAAAAGGCCGACCAACAUUUUGCAUCUGCACACUUCCUGAACACAUUAAGAAUCCUCACUAUACCAGCACUACCACACACUCACACGCACAAGGAUUUUUCUCUCUUUCUUUUUGCAUAUGCAAACCUAUAGGGCUCAGUGUGUGUGUGUGUGUGUGUGUGUGUGUGUGUGUGUGAGCAAGAAGCAGGUAGGGCUCCCACACAGGGGGCCGGGGACGGGGCGAGGGGCCGGGGGCCCCACCAGGCCUUGUGUCAGCAGCCG